UGACCGGAUGCCGAUCUCGAAAACCUGUCCCAGUUCGGACUGGAGUCUGCAACCCGACUCCACGAAGUUGGAUUCGCUAGUAAUCGCGCAUCAGCCAUGGCGCGGUGAAUACGUUCCCGGGCCUUGUACACACCGCCCGUCAAGUCAUGGAAGCUGGGGGUGCCUGAAGUUCGUGACCGGAAGGAGCGACCUAGGGCAAAACCGGUGACUGGGGCUAAGUCGUAACAAGGUAGC
Molecule: ribosomal RNA, 234 nt
Filed under: uncultured bacterium
Lineage: Bacteria
Description: partial 16S ribosomal RNA
Rfam family: Bacterial small subunit ribosomal RNA
Source: RNAcentral